AUGCGUACGAUACUGCUUUUUGCUCGUUGAACUCUCACUCAAGCAACCCGUAUUCCUCCAACAUAUCUUCACUCAGUUCUACAAAGUCAAUAUACUCCUCCGCAAAGUCGUUCCAAGUAACAUUCUCAAUCCUCGACAUAAAUCUCGGCGGUUCCGGGCUCUCCGAAUAUAAUCUCGCAAACAGCGCUUCCGCUUCCUCCGCCUGAGACAUAUAUAUCUCCAUCUUAUUCACCACAGGCCCCAGCGCAAUAUCAACAGACGUCUUUUCUUUGUACAACAACAUUAUCAAGCGCUACCGCGCCCUUCCAUACCCCACACACAAGGGACAUCAUGUCCUCAUCCUCCCAUCGGGGACAUUUGGUCCCAUAGGGUGCUUUGAUAAGGGAGAUGAUAGUUCGGAUACGACUGUAGGGCCAAAUAAACGGUAACUGCAUGAUAGCGCUUCGGACUGGCGCUUGAUUGUUGAUUGGGGUGUGGAAAAUGACUGUUGUCAUUUCCGGACGACAUUCUGCGAUUCGUCGAAGUUCGUCAAGGACGUAGUGAUACCUUGCCCUUCCAUUAAAGAGUACGUGCGCUACCGUUUCUUGGAAGCCGCGGGACAGAAGACGGAUGAGAGUGUUGUCCACGUUUUGGGAGGUAUAGCAUACCGAAUAUCUAUUUAAGAAUUGACUAUUGACGACUUCCCAAUCGUACUCCAACCGCUUAACGUUUGAGAACAAGUUCCUUACUGGCCAUUCGAGGGCGGCGAUAGGAUCAGGACAACAUGAAAUAUUGAAAUGAGUGGAAACCACGGCGCCCCCCAUGUUCCCUAUACGCAGAAUUCGUGUACGGGACAGUGCGGGAGCCAUGCUUCGACGGUACUGUGCUGGCUAAGACUGUGGAAAAGCUUGUGACAGACAGUGACGGUGUGGUAGAGGGUGGGUAUGGUGCGCUUAUAGUAAUAUUUGGAGAGAAUGAGGGUUUUUAGGGGCGCGAUGAGGGAGAGCUGGUGGAGGAUAUGAUGGGCGACGGGAUAGAGGAUCUCGAAGGGAGGUUCUUCGGAUGUGGUGAAUGCUUGAGACAUGGCAUAGAUAGGCAUAGAUAGGUAUUGGCGAAUGGACCCAAGCGCAUAUAUGCUACUGGGCUUCAGCUACAUACGAUACAUUUAUCAAUUGUCAACUAACAGAGGGCACCCAAAAGCAUGAUGAACGAAUAUUAU
This 1198-nucleotide small RNA is filed under the name Cryptococcus neoformans H99. RNAcentral describes it as "Cryptococcus neoformans var. grubii H99 hypothetical RNA". The record is from RNAcentral. Lineage: Eukaryota; Fungi; Basidiomycota; Tremellomycetes; Tremellales; Cryptococcaceae.